CAGGUCCCUCUAAGCACCCAGUCAUCAGGGGCAGGCCCCCAUGGAGAGAACAGGCUUGUUUCAGGGAGGAAUUCCCAGAAGCUGGAGCUCCAGACAGAGGUGAGGGACAGUGGUCAGCGCAAGGCACACUGGACAGAGCUGACUUCAGUCCUAUCUGGAGUUUCUCCAAGAAGCUUCUUCCUAGAAGCUCAUCAUCCCUACUCACUUUGGGGUGAAAAUAGCUUUGCAAAACCUGCUCAGAUGAGUCAGCAGGCCAGACCUCCAGAGCGGUGGAUGUAGUCCACACGAAAUUGCCUUUAGUGAACUGAGCAUUGAUGUUAUACCAUUUGAUUGCAUUGAUUUGGUUUAUAAGAACCAGCACAUCCCUA
Homo sapiens (human) is the source of this 368-nucleotide long non-coding RNA. The record is from Ensembl. Lineage: Eukaryota; Metazoa; Chordata; Mammalia; Primates; Hominidae.